Long non-coding RNA from Salvia splendens (bonfire salvia), 441 nucleotides. RefSeq lists it as uncharacterized. The transcript has 2 exons. Lineage: Eukaryota; Viridiplantae; Streptophyta; Magnoliopsida; Lamiales; Lamiaceae. The record is from RefSeq and is a predicted model, not a curated record.
CUCAAUUAGUGAAGAUAGGUUUGGCAAUUGUGAUGAUGUCGAUGUUGUGUUUAUCUUGUGUGGCAGAGCAAGAACUAAUUGCCAUAGGUCAGUGCAUCAGCAACUGCGUCUCCCGAUGCCAAGGCUCACCAAAUUACAACCGGUGUUACAACGGUUGUGCCCGAGGUUGUGUGCCUGCUCUCACAACCGCCUUGGCCUCAUCCUCGGCCUAUUGCAACCUCGGUUGCUCCCUUUAUAAGUGUGUCAAUGUUGCCAAAGAUGCAAAAAAAUUUGAGAGUUGCUUGGAUGACUGCUAUAAGGUUCAAUGCAAAGCAUAGGCAUUGAUGCCCGUGACAAAGAUAUAGACGGAGAAAUGAAUAAUAAGCAUCAAAUUGUAAUUUAUUUUGAAAUCUUUGAAUCAAUUGAUGAUCCUUACUUGAUGUAAUUGCUAUUUUUUACCAA